Molecule: ribosomal RNA, 439 nt
Filed under: uncultured bacterium
Lineage: Bacteria
Description: partial 16S ribosomal RNA
Rfam family: Bacterial small subunit ribosomal RNA
Source: RNAcentral
CUACGGGGGGCACCAGUGGGGAAUAUUGCACAAUGGGGGAAACCCUGAUGCAGCGACGCCGCGUGAGCGAAGAAGUAUUUCGGUAUGUAAAGCUCUAUCAGCAGGGAAGAAAAUGACGGUACCUGACUAAGAAGCUCCGGCUAAAUACGUGCCAGCAGCCGCGGUAAUACGUAUGGAGCAAGCGUUAUCCGGAUUUACUGGGUGUAAAGGGUGCGUAGGCGGCAGGGCAAGUCAGAGGUGAAAGCCCGGGGCUCAACCCCGGGACUGCAUUUGAAACUGCUUUGCUGGAGUGCAGGAGAGGUAAGCGGAAUUCCAAGUGUAGCGGUGAAAUGCGUAGAUAUUAGGAGGAACACCAGUGGCGAAGGCGGCUUACUGGACUGUCACUGACGCUGAGGCACGAAAGCGUGGGGAGCAAACAGGAUUAGAUACCCGAGUAGUC